This 1746-nucleotide long non-coding RNA is filed under the name Oryzias sinensis (Chinese medaka). RNAcentral's name for it is "lncRNA (ENSOSIG00000023876.1)". Lineage: Eukaryota; Metazoa; Chordata; Actinopteri; Beloniformes; Adrianichthyidae. The record is from RNAcentral.
AUGGAGUUUGAAUUUGUAGCUGUUCUAAAGAUUUUGUUAUUAGACAUUUUUUUUUUUUUUAUAUAUUCAAGGUGGCGGCCUCCACCCAAGGUCACAGGACAAUGGAACUUUGUUUGUUGUUGUAGACUUAAGCUGUGUAGGAAAUUUUGUGAUGCUUGCUUAAACAAAAGUUUUCCUUUCCCAUGUUGGUCAAUUCUACAACAGUGCAAACGUGUGAAAAUCACCAUUAAAAAAAAAUGGAUGUUAAAGCACAGGUCGUUUGGCCAUCCCAUAAUGACUUCCUUUGGAUAUCCUCAAGACGAUUUUGGGGACCUUGGAGACUCUAUCAGUCAGUCGCUGGCUGCUGCCUUCCUGCCACCGGCCUGUCACUGGACUGCUACCACACGACCUCAAAAAGUCCAAAAGUGCCCAGGCGGCUGCUGACUGAUGUCCAAAAAUGACCGCUCACUGUAAAAUUGUAACUUUUUCUUAAAAGCUCUGCAUCCACCAAGUGGCGUGUAAAAAUGUGACUGCCACUUCCUGUUAACAGAUGCCACUGUGCUGCCACCUGCCGACUUUGAUGUUAUGCAGAGGCAUUUUUAAGUCAUCAUACAUAGUCACAGGGGAGUUAAAUGGGACAUGUGUUCUAUUUUUAGGUUAAAAAAAUAGUGCUACAAAUGUGAAAUAUUUAUGCGCUUCCCAAACUACAAAAAUUUGACUCAGUUAUGAUCUUUGGGCCGAUGAUGCCAGUGACAAUGAAAAGGGAUUUAAUGAUCUAAUUUUUGUGGUGCUGUGGGAGCAUUAGAAGUAUUUUGUUUAACUUAAAUAUUUCAGAUUUGCCUCGAGAACGUCUCAGUGCUUUGGCAGUAAUCCGAAUUAACCAUGAGAUAAAUAAAAUCCAGAAAUCUGACUUGUUUUAACAAAAACGUUUACACAGACUGGAAACAGUUAUUGACUGUAUGAUGCUUUUUGUCUUUAGUAAUUCUUAUUCAAAGAUUUCCAACUUAAUUGUGAUUUAGAACUGAUGUAAAAUUCCUUAGAUGGGUAAAAAUAAAUCUGUGUGCAACCGGCAGGUCUGCCUGUGACAGGUGUAGGCCUGCUGAUUGGGGAUUUGGUACAGCUGUGUCUGUCCCUAUAUAAGAAACAGGGAGUGAGUGGACAGACAGUGGCUGCCUCUUUGCAUGGUGGUAUGUAUGGCUGAAGCUCCUCUUGUUGGGAGGACGUAGAUCACAUUUUACUCAUAUUCUACUCUUAACUAGAUGCUGUAAGCGGCUGGACGUGUUGCAGAUGUCAUGAGCCACUCCGUGUUCUGUACCCACCCUUUUAUACAUUUUAAUGUGCUUUUAGAGUGAUGUUGUAUGUAUUGUGUGGUUAACUCUGAUUUAUCUUAUUGUUUUGUUAGGUCUGAGUCGGGCGCCGGUGCGUGUGGUGUCGGUGAGGGGGCCCCUGGUGGCAGCGUCUUCCUCACUCCAGUUCCCUCACUGUAUUUGUUUAUUUCCCUUUUAGUGUGUAGUGGAAGUUUCGUUGGCAUGUUUUUUUUCCUUAUCUUGUGUGGGUUUGUUUUCAGCACGGAUUGGAGUGAGGUGCGCUGCCUCUUACUGGCUUAGUCCACGGCCUCUCUCUUUCCCUCCCCUCCUGCACGGGCGGUCGGCUCGGCCUUCCUGUUUUUAUUCCUUCAUCUCUUUUUUUUGCUUUAAUUGCUUUUAUGUGUCCAGCUAAUCAGAGUAAAACUACAACAGUAGAUUUUAAUUUUAAACUGUUAAUUAA